RNAcentral lists this ribosomal RNA (429 nucleotides) under Chloroflexota bacterium. RNAcentral describes it as "Chloroflexi bacterium partial 16S ribosomal RNA". It matches the Rfam family "Bacterial small subunit ribosomal RNA", at positions 355 to 776 of the family's 1533-position model. Lineage: Bacteria; Bacillati; Chloroflexota. The record is from RNAcentral.
UGGGGAAUUUUGCACAAUGGGCGCAAGCCUGAUGCAGCCAUGCCGCGUGUGUGAAGAAGGCCUUCGGGUUGUAAAGCACUUUCAGCGGGGAGGAAGGCGGUGAGGUUAAUAACCUCAUCGAUUGACGUUACCCGCAGAAGAAGCACCGGCUAACUCCGUGCCAGCAGCCGCGGUAAUACGGAGGGUGCAAGCGUUAAUCGGAAUUACUGGGCGUAAAGCGCACGCAGGCGGUCUGUAAAGUCGGAUGUGAAAUCCCCGGGCUCAACCUGGGAACUGCAUUGGAAACUGGCAGGCUAGAGUCUUGUAGAGGGGGGUAGAAUUCCAGGUGUAGCGGUGAAAUGCGUAGAGAUCUGGAGGAAUACCGGUGGCGAAGGCGGCCCCCUGGACAAGGACUGACGCUCAGGUGCGAAAGCGUGGGGAGCAAACAGG